CUGCUCUCAGAGAUAGAUGUGUCUGGAUAAACCUGACAGAAUUGGCAGGGGACAGCAUGGGACAAGGUAGGACAGGGUGAGAUGCUUGUCUGGGUACCUGUGGGAGAUUUCUGAGUUGUCCCAGGGGACUGUGGCAGUGAUGGCACUUAUCUUCAUCUGUGCUGUGUUUUAUUAAAUAAUGGUGAAGACCGUGAGAGCUGGAAAAGAGGAGAGGGGGUAAGGCCAAGUGAGAGGACGUGGGAACAAGGCGUAUGUUGGAAAAUGAAGAGACUGUGCAGGUGGCCAGGCAGAGAUGGAAAAGCUGUGCUCCAGACUCGGGGGAAUUGCAGCACGGUGUGUUUUCCCAUGGGAACUGGCAGUGGGUGCGUAUCUUUUCCCCACCCAUUUAAAAACUCUUGCUCUAGCCGGGUACCCUCCGACUGAGGGCCAAGGACCCGGGCACCGGUGCAGAGGAAGCUCUGACGAACACACACCGGCACCCGGCCGUGCUGACAGAUCUUCCACGCCGGUGGUAGCGUCUCCCUGAGUCAUCGGCAUGGAGUGUGCUUCAAGCAGCUCCGCAUAAACACCGCCUUCAGACAGUGAAGGGAAAUAUUUUAACUCACCCACAUCCCAUAAAUGCGACUACAGAUCUCUUGAUGGCAGCAACAGAACUGUCAUCACCCUCGAUAAAUAGACAGGGUGUCACUUGUUUUUCCCUUAUUUCUUCCCCAUAGCCAUCUUUUGUGUAGCAUGGGGGUGUGUCAGGUAAAUCUGUGCCUUUUGCCCCUCUCCGGGAAGUGUGUGUACGAGGUGGGGGAGGCAGUCUGCCCAUGCACAGACAUCUCCGUGGCUCCUCUUGACUUCUAAGGGAGAUUCACACAGGCAGGGGAGCGAUCGGGUCCCAGAUGCUCAAGAGAAAACGGCAGAGUAAUUCUCCACUGCUGCUUCCAUGUGCUUCAAAAAGACAUUAGAAAAGAGAGAAAUGCAUAACUGAAAGGUGCUGAAUAAUUUGGGGAAAUGGGGUCACGCCCACCCACCCAUUUGUAGAGCUUAGAGAUCUGUAUAAAGAUGCAAAUGAAUACAUCUGUUGUGUCAUUAAAUGCAACUGCAGCAACCUAGAUGAAAGGGAAAGGGAGUGAGGGAGAAGUGCUGACUGGUAACGGCACCACAAAGUUGUCUUCUGUGAUGAGGAUCUGCCGAGUGCAAAGCUCUAGGCUAGUACUCCGGGUCCCAGUUCAGCACCCAUUUAUUCUCUCUCCUUCCCUCCUGCUUCUCGUAGUCUCACGGUCUGGCAUCAACCAGAGUUCCCCGUGCGCUUCCUAUGAAGGCUGUGGGAGCCAAUGGAUGUGGAACCAGUGGUUUUAAUCCCCUCUUUCACCUCCCUGUGGAGCCUGGCUACCUCGGCUGGUGUUUUGCAGGGAGGGGAGAGGACAGGACAGAGGCACCUGCGGCUCUGACGGACAGCAGCUCUCCGCUGCUGGAAGCACCUCUGCCUCUGGGAAGGGACGGGGGACGAGGUCAAGUGACAACGCGUGUGCACAGGCUGCUGGCUAUCUAACAACAUAAACGAGGAAUGCCCCAGCUCCGACAAAAUGACUUUUAUGUACACGUGUUCUCUCUUGGGGCAAGUGGAGAAGGAAAAGCACAGAUCCAUCGAAAACCGGUAAAAAACCUGCACCCCUCAUUGACUUGAGACCUACCCUCCAGAGGCAACCAACAGCUUCCAGACCAGCAUUUCAUUCUUUGUCCUUCCUAACGAGAACAACAGGAGACUUUAACCUCAACCUGAGUAUAAUGUUUUCACAGUAGAAAAUGAUCAUCUCUACACUUCGGAAGCAUCGGUGUUGUUUCCUGUUGACUCCAUAAAAUCUCUAGCAUCUUUUCAAAUUGGAAUCCUUCCAUAAUAACUGCAUUUUGUAUUUCCAUAUGCUACAGAGAUGAGCAGAAUCAUUAUUAAAUCACUAAUUUAGUGAUGUCUGAAAGACCCCAAUAGUCACCCUCUGAAAGGUUUUACUAGUAAACGUAAGGAUCAGUCUCUGCCCUGAAGAAUUGAGUAACUGAAAAAACACAGUGGCAUCUUUAGUGCAGAGCAUCACCCUUACGCCUUUACUCACACUGUUUUCCUUAAAUAUUUGUAACUACACUGUUAAAAAUUCCAAGUAAUGUGACUAAUGCCUGCAGGUUCCGGCAAUGACAAUAAUAUCAAAUUUCUUCUCAUCAACGGGAAUUUCCAUUUCCAGCUUGCUUGUUCCCCUGAUGUCUAGGACUGCUGUAUAAGUAAUAGGAAAAUCUCUUUUCUUCACAACUUUAGCACAGCAGCUCAAUUUGUUUGCAGCACGCUGAGCUUGAGUUCGUAUUGCAUUUGCCUUCUUAGCACCUUCCCUUUGUGUCAUUAGUCAAGCGACCGCCUGGCUGCUCCAGCUUGUUUCUGACAGAACGGAGUAGCUUUGAGAUGGAGGCCAUUCUGCUCGUACGUGGUUGCAUAUAUAUAAAAAAGACUAAAGGCGGCAUUAUGAAACCUCCAGCAACUUGACUACGCGCUGCAGCCACUUAUUUUCCACUGACACCAGAACACUCUUUUUUCCUACUCACCAGCUGGUGAGAGGUGUCAAGCGACAAUGCGAGCAGAUCGCGGGAGAAAUCGCUGCCUUCGAACACCAGACUUCAUUAGCAUGAGGACAACUGCAUCGACCCCACUGCUACUGGUCCUUGAAGGCGCUUACACCCGGAGUACCCCUGUUCCUCCGUUCAUUCCUCAGUAGCUGGCAGGAGGUGGGAGAAAGGGCGCGCAUAAACCUCUGAGAAAUCAGUGUCGCAACAGAGGAUCUGCCGAAUCAGGUAUCAUCUGGAAAUUUCUUCCUCAGCGGUAACACCUUGCGUGCCAAGGAAUCGUACAGAGCGACUAGCACUCCUCCUCCUCCUCCAUCCCACUCACAGCCGCUGUGCUGAUCUGGCUGUUUGUCAUCUGUCGUGUUGACGCAGUGCUGGGACAAACUAGCAGCAUGGGAACUUCUGCCACCUGGUCUGGUCAGCCGAGAAAGUUUAUAUCCUCUUUACAGGAGACUGACAUAAACUGAAAUUUGAUGACCACGGGAGCGGGAGAAAAAAAGGUUUCUGUUGGUAGCCCUGGUCUGGAAGUGGGCAAUUAUCAAAUGGAGACCAAUUCGAUAAAGCCUCAAUUUAAGAAAGUACUUGAAUAUGUAGUUUCCUCUAAUCACGUCUCUGCGAUGUUUCUUGUCUGGCAAAGCAUGUAAAUACAGGCAGCCUCCAGCAUGUGCUGAGGUACUCUGAGGUAGCAACCUCAACUGUGUAAAAAAAUAGUUGCUGUACUGUAGAGGAAAAUGACGACAUAAAGCAUUUCUCCAGGGCUGCCUGGCACUAAUGACUUUAAUACAGUGAGUUGAACAAACUUAUGUGGCAGCAGUGACUGUGAAGGAGGACUUUUAACUUGCCUACAAUAACUACCUUGCUAGGAGCUGAGCGUUUCAGUCAGCGUGAUGAAUAGUGAACAGGAGCCGUGGGAAGGCCAGCGCACGGAGGCAGCGCAGCGGGCGGCUCUGGAUGGGGCAGGGUGCAGGACACAGCCGCACGGGAGCAUCUCUGGCAGCAGUACAGUGAUGCGGUGAAGCACGGGCUUAAUUCCUGAAGCUUGCAGCAAAAAGCUUGGCUGCACGGGGAAGGAUCUGCCAAAUCAGGAGCUGGAACGCAGAAGUAAUACAGAUAAAGGCACUGCAACAGAGGGGAACAGAGGGGUGGAUGGCCAGAAGCUGGGAACGUGGGCUUUGAGGCACCCAGAGGAUGCCCUGCGGUCAGAGGGAUCUGAUGGCUCCUUCCAGACAGCUGUGUAGUGGCAUUGCACAUAACGGAGAGAUCUCCGCUACAGACCGGAGCCAGCUCUGCAGGUGUCGGUGAGCAGCUAGAAACAGAGAACCAAGUCCAAUAUUGGACUUGACACAUAAGACUAUGGCUGGUUCCAAAAGACUCAAAGUGUUAUUUCUUGGAGAUCUCAAGCAAAACAGAGCUGGAGUAUCUGUUGGUUUAAACAAACUUCGGCCAAAGGAAGGCUGCAAUACACCACAAACACGAAAGCGCUAGACUGUCCUUUGCUGUGAACAACCUUUCAUACUAGAAAACGCUUUUCUAAUACCACUGUUUUUCUGACUGGGUCUGAUGAUGGCACUCAUUAUUUUCUUCACAGUUCACAGAGAGGGCCAUCAAAAAAUAGCCAACUUUUCCUUCCUCUCUGUUUAAAGUCUCCAUAACCUUGGUGUGAAUUUAUAGUCUGUCGUUGUCUUUUGAGAUGCCAUAUGUGCAAGAGAAUAAGAGGGAGGGAGACAUUUUGUUUCUGAAAAUGAUGCUAUGCUUAGCACUGUUACAGUAUUGUGGACAAUGUAUAUCAUUUAAAGUAGCAAGAAGAGGUGUGAGGUGAAAGAAGACCUUGUGGCAAGCAUAAAUGUCUCUUGUCCUUGGGGGAAAAAAAAACCAAAACCAGAUCAACCCCCCACCCUCCACUAAUUAAUGUACUAUAAUCCAUUCCAAGAGGAAGAAAGUUCUGAAUUGUUUUUUAAUUAUUUCCCAUAGAUAAAUCUUCUCUGACAGGAAAGAUUCAGCAGUACCCAGUGAAGGGCAACUAUUUCUAAGGGUAUGAAUUCAUUGCAAGCUUCUAUUCAGCCUGAGGGUGACAUCCUAGCCAGGAGAUUUAUGGAGAAGCUACCAUCACACCUGAAUUUUUUGAGUCCCUUUACUUUGGUUGACCCUAAUGAUUUGGUGUCACCUUGUGGACUUUGCUAGUCCUAUCUUCUCUCACUCAGAAAAUGAAGUCCGAAAGAACAUGCAAACACCUCUGCCUCUGCUUUUGCUGUUCCUCUGACUAUAAACUGUUGCUGUUGUUGUCAUUAUUAUGAUGAUUAUUAUUAUUUUUACUAGUAGUAGUAUUAAAAUAGAAACCCCUUAGAAGCUCCUGGACUAGAACUCCACCGAACAAACACAGAAAAAAAAAAAGCAAGUUUCUUGACCUGUAAAGUUUAGGAUUUAUUUGCUGGCAUCAUUUGGACAAAUGACCCAUGGCAAAGUGGCUUAGCCUUCACAGCCACUGAAGCUGGAUUGCACCUCUGAGAUCCACUGCCUUACGCCUGCAAAUUGUAUCACCGCGUAGGCAGUGUCUGGCUGUGAGUGCCUGGGGGGGUGUACGCUGGUGACGUGCCUCCUACCCUCCCAAUCUCUUCAAGUAGAAUCAGCGGUGAUGGUGGCACAUGCUGAUGACUAUACGCCAGGCUGCGUUGGUGCCAGAAGAGUCUUCAGCCUUUAGCCAAACUCACUUAUUCGUUAUUGUCCUAUUAGGAAAAGGCUGAGGGCCAUGUGGAGACACCUGGAAAGCUAAAUCUGGGUUGUGAUGGGAGGAACUAAGAUAUGUUGAACACUGCUGGUUCAGGCAGUCAAGCAAGCUGUUUUGAUUGUACCCAGGUCCUGAACCACAGGAUACAUGCUGCUUCUGUUGCUCCUUGAUCCAGGACCUCUGAACUGAUUCAAAGCUGCAUUUGUGUGUCCGUGGGACUCAUGGUCAAGUCACAGAUCUCUGCCGUGUGACAGGGUAGAUGAGCUCUGACUCUGUACUGUGAGGAUGCCAUCGGUUCUGGGUUAGCUUAUUUGUUUUCUAUCUGUCCCACUCACCAUACAGCAUACAGGUACAUGAUUAGGUGAUCAGACCUGCAGUGUAGAGUGAAAAUGGAUGAAAAAAAAUAAAACCGAAACCAAACCAAGAAAACCAUGACAUGAUGAUAAGUGUCUAAUGGAAAAUAAUAAUAAUCAGUAAGGGUAGGAAUAAUAUUUAGUUCCUCUCAUAAUUUCCUGAAACGUUCUCAACCAUCAACAUGCUGGCAAUGCUUUACCUUGGUAUUAGCAUCACCGGCUAAAUGCAGCCAUGAAAAAACAUGUUUUUCCAAGAAUCUGAAUGCUGGUAUAAAUGGUCAAGUUACUAUGACUCUUCUUUAGAGU
Long non-coding RNA from Aquila chrysaetos chrysaetos, 5976 nucleotides. RefSeq lists it as uncharacterized. The transcript has 6 exons. Lineage: Eukaryota; Metazoa; Chordata; Aves; Accipitriformes; Accipitridae. The record is from RefSeq and is a predicted model, not a curated record.